AUACGGAGGGUGCAAGCGUUAAUCGGAAUUACUGGGCGUAAAGCGUACGUAGGCGGUUCGUUAAGUUAGAUGUGAAAGCCCCGGGCUUAACCUGGGAACUGCAUUUAAAACUGGCGAACUAGAGUUGAGUAGAGGGGAGUGGAAUUUCAGGUGUAGCGGUGAAAUGCGUAGAGAUCUAAAGGAACACCAGUGGCGAAGGCGGCUCCCUGGACUCAAACUGACGCUGAGGUACGAAAGCGUGGGUAGCAAACGGGAUUAGAUACCCUAGUAGUCC
RNAcentral lists this ribosomal RNA (274 nucleotides) under uncultured bacterium. RNAcentral describes it as "partial 16S ribosomal RNA". It matches the Rfam family "Bacterial small subunit ribosomal RNA", at positions 523 to 796 of the family's 1533-position model. The record is from RNAcentral.